Molecule: ribosomal RNA, 484 nt
Filed under: uncultured bacterium
Lineage: Bacteria
Description: partial 16S ribosomal RNA
Rfam family: Bacterial small subunit ribosomal RNA
Source: RNAcentral
AUUGAACGCUGGCGGCAGGCCUAACACAUGCAAGUCGAGCGGAUGAAGGGAGCUUGCUCCUGGAUUCAGCGGCGGACGGGUGAGUAAUGCCUAGGAAUCUGCCUGGUAGUGGGGGAUAACGUCCGGAAACGGGCGCUAAUACCGCAUACGUCCUGUGGGAGAAAGUGGGGGAUCUUCGGACCUCACGCUAUCAGAUGAGCCUAGGUCGGAUUAGCUGGUUGGUGGGGUAAAGGCCUACCAAGGCGACGAUCCGUAACUGGUCUGAGAGGAUGAUCAGUCACACUGGAACUGAGACACGGUCCAGACUCCUACGGGAGGCAGCAGUGGGGAAUAUUGGACAAUGGGCGAAAGCCUGAUCCAGCCAUGCCGCGUGUGUGAAGAAGGUCUUCGGAUUGUAAAGCACUUUAAGUUGGGAGGAAGGGCAGUAAGUUAAUACCUUGCUGUUUUGACGUUACCAACAGAAUAAGCACCGGCUAACUUCGUG